Molecule: ribosomal RNA, 253 nt
Filed under: uncultured bacterium
Lineage: Bacteria
Description: partial 16S ribosomal RNA
Rfam family: Bacterial small subunit ribosomal RNA
Source: RNAcentral
UACGUAGGGUGCAAGCGUUGUCCGGAAUUAUUGGGCGUAAAGGGCUCGUAGGCGGUUUGUCGCGUCGGGAGUGAAAACCAGGUGCUUAACACCUGGCUUGCUUUCGAUACGGGCAGACUAGAGGUAUUCAGGGGAGAACGGAAUUCCUGGUGUAGCGGUGAAAUGCGCAGAUAUCAGGAGGAACACCUAUUGCGAAGGCAGCUCGCUGGGACGUAACUGACGCUGAGACGCGAAAGCGUGGGGAGCAAACAGG